UGCAUGUCUAAGUAUAAGCAAUUAUACCGUGAAACUGCGAAUGGCUCAUUAAAUCAGUUAUCGUUUAUUUGAUAGUACCUUACUACUUGGAUAACCGUGGUAAUUCUAGAGCUAAUACAUGCUGAAAACCCUGACUUCGGAAAGGGUGUAUUUAUUAGAUAAAAAACCAAUGCCCUUUGGGCUCUUGGUGAUUCAUGAUAACUUAACGGAUCGCAUGGCCUUGCGCCGGCGACGGUUCAUUCAAAUUUCUGCCCUAUCAACUUUCGAUGGUAAGGUAUUGGCUUACCAUGGUUUCAACGGGUAACGGGGAAUUAGGGUUCGAUUCCGGAGAGGGAGCCUGAGAAACGGCUACCACAUCCAAGGAAGGCAGCAGGCGCGCAAAUUACCCAAUCCCGACACGGGGAGGUAGUGACAAUAAAUACUGAUACAGGGCUCUUUAGGGUCUUGUAAUCGGAAUGAGUACAAUUUAAACCUCUUAACGAGGAACAAUUGGAGGGCAAGUCUGGUGCCAGCAGCCGCGGUAAUUCCAGCUCCAAUAGCGUAUAUUAAAGUUGUUGCAGUUAAAAAGCUCGUAGUUGAAUCUUGGGCCUGGCUGGCCGGUCCGCCUCACCGCGUGUACUGGUCUGGCCGGGCCUUUCCUUCUGGAGAACCUCAUGCCCUUCAGUGGGUGUGUUGGGGAACCAGGACUUUUACUUUGAAAAAAUUAGAGUGUUCAAAGCAGGCCUUUGCUCGAAUACGUUAGCAUGGAAUAAUAGAAUAGGACGUGCGGUCCUAUUUUGUUGGUUUCUAGGACCGCCGUAAUGAUUAAUAGGGAUAGUCGGGGGCAUCAGUAUUCAAUUGUCAGAGGUGAAAUUCUUGGAUUUAUUGAAGACUAACUACUGCGAAAGCAUUUGCCAAGGAUGUUUUCAUUAAUCAGUGAACGAAAGUUAGGGGAUCGAAGACGAUCAGAUACCGUCGUAGUCUUAACCGUAAACUAUGCCGACUAGGGAUCGGGCGAUGUUUCUAUAUUGACUCGCUCGGCACCUUACGAGAAAUCAAAGUUUUUGGGUUCUGGGGGGAGUAUGGUCGCAAGGCUGAAACUUA
This 1083-nucleotide ribosomal RNA is filed under the name Lophiostoma biappendiculatum. Its description in RNAcentral is "SSU rRNA". It matches the Rfam family "Eukaryotic small subunit ribosomal RNA", at positions 52 to 1146 of the family's 1831-position model. The record is from RNAcentral. Lineage: Eukaryota; Fungi; Ascomycota; Dothideomycetes; Pleosporales; Lophiostomataceae.